This 468-nucleotide ribosomal RNA is filed under the name uncultured bacterium. Its description in RNAcentral is "partial 16S ribosomal RNA". It matches the Rfam family "Bacterial small subunit ribosomal RNA", at positions 28 to 507 of the family's 1533-position model. The record is from RNAcentral.
GACGAACGCUGGCGGCGUGCUUAACACAUGCAAGUCGAACGGAAAGGCACUGCUUUUGUGGGGUGCUCGAGUGGCGAACGGGUGAGUAACACGUGAGUAACCUGCCCUUGACUUUGGGAUAACUUCAGGAAACUGGGGCUAAUACCGGAUAGGAGCUCCUGCUGCAUGGUGGGGGUUGGAAAGUUUCGGCGGUUGGGGAUGGACUCGCGGCUGAUCAGCUUGUUGGUGGGGUAGUGGCUUACCAAGGCUUUGACGGGUAGGCGGCCUGAGAGGGUGACCGGCGACAUUGGGACUGAGAUACGGAGCAGACUGCUACGGGAGGCAGCAGUGGCGAACAUUGCACAAUGGGCGGAAGCCUGAUGCAGAAACGCCGCGUGCGGGAAGACGGUCUGCGGGUUGUGAACAGCUUUCGCCUGUGACGAAGCGGGAGUGACGGUAAUGGAUAAAUAAGCACCGGCUAACUACGUG